GCUGGCGGCAGGCCUACACAUGCAGUCGAGCGGAGAGAGGUAGCUGCUACUGAUCUUAGCGGCGGACGGGUGAGUAAUGCUUAGGAAUCUGCCUAUUAGUGGGGGACAACAUUUCGAAAGGAAUGCUAAUACCGCAUACGUCCUACGGGAGAAAGCAGGUGAUCUUCGGACCUUGCGCUAAUAGAUGAGCCUAAGUCGGAUUAGCUAGUUGGUGGGGUAAAGGCCUACCAAGGCGACGAUCUGUAGCGGGUCUGAGAGGAUGAUCCGCCACACUGGGACUGAGACACGGCCCAGACUCCUACGGGAGGCAGCAGUGGGGAAUAUUGGACAAUGGGCGCAAGCCUGAUCCAGCCAUGCCGCGUGUGUGAAGAAGGCCUUAUGGUUGUAAAGCACUUUAAGCGAGGAGGAGGCUACUUUAGUUAAUACCUAGAGAUAGUGGACGUUACUCGCAGAA
RNAcentral lists this ribosomal RNA (454 nucleotides) under uncultured Acinetobacter sp. RNAcentral describes it as "bacterial SSU rRNA". It matches the Rfam family "Bacterial small subunit ribosomal RNA", at positions 35 to 486 of the family's 1533-position model. Lineage: Bacteria; Pseudomonadati; Pseudomonadota; Gammaproteobacteria; Moraxellales; Moraxellaceae. The record is from RNAcentral.